RNAcentral lists this long non-coding RNA (241 nucleotides) under Setaria viridis. Its description in RNAcentral is "long non-coding RNA (SVIR_LNC004204)". The record is from RNAcentral. Lineage: Eukaryota; Viridiplantae; Streptophyta; Magnoliopsida; Poales; Poaceae.
UCCCUUGUAACUUUGUGCAUUUGGGAACUCAGUUUGCCAGUAGCUUGAGCUGGGUGGUGGUAAUUGUACUUCUGGAGUUGCUUGCGAGGAUGAGCUUUCUUCAAUUCUUUUCCUUCUUUUGUCUUUCUUUGCUGGGAAUAAUACUCCCUCUUCCAGUCACUUGGUUUUGCCCACAUGAUAUAUUCUAAAUCUUCUAUUGACCAGUUUAAAAUUGGUGACCCCAACUGUAUAGCCAUUUUCU